RNAcentral lists this ribosomal RNA (468 nucleotides) under uncultured bacterium. RNAcentral describes it as "partial 16S ribosomal RNA". It matches the Rfam family "Bacterial small subunit ribosomal RNA", at positions 28 to 523 of the family's 1533-position model. The record is from RNAcentral.
GAUGAACGCUGGCGGCGUGCCUAACACAUGCAAGUCGAGCGAUUUACUUCGGUAAAGAGCGGCGGACGGGUGAGUAACGCGUGGGUAACCUGCCCUGUACACACGGAUAACAUACCGAAAGGUAUGCUAAUACGAGAUAAUAUGCUUUUAUCGCAUGGUAGAAGUAUCAAAGCGCUUGCGGUACAGGAGGGACCCGCGUCUGAUUCGCUGGUUGGUAAGGUAACGGCUUACCAAGGCAACGAUCAGGAGCCGACCUGAGGGGGUGAUCGGCCACAGUGGAACUGAGACACGGUCCAAAAGCCGACGGGAGGCAGCAGUGGGGAAUAUGGCACAGUGGGCGAGAGCCUGAUGGAGCAACGCCGCGUGAGCGAUGAAGGCCUUCGGGUCGUAAAGCUCUGUCCUCAAGGAAGAUAAUGACGGUACUUGAGGAGGAAGCCCCGGCUAACUACGUGCCAGCAGCCGCGGUAA